AUGGGGGCCGUCCCCUCCCUUCGCCUCCGAACAAGCUCCCUCUCAUCGGCCACCUGCACCUGGUCGGCCCCGACCCGCACGUCUCCCUCGCCAUCCUCGCCGCCAAGCACGGCGACGGCGGCCUCAUGCUCCUCCGCCUCGGCCAGACGCGCGCCCUCGUCGUCUCCUCCCCGCGCGCCGCCGAGGCGGUCCUGCGCACGCAGGACCUACGUCUUCGCCUCGCGGCCUCCGAACGCGCUCGUCGACGCCCUCCUGGACGGCGGCGCCGACGUCGCCUUCGCCCCCUACGGCGAGUUCUGGCGGCAGGCCAGGAGGCUGGUCACCACGCACCUGCUCAGCGCCAGGAAGCUGCACUCGCUCCGCCGCGGCCGCGAGGGGGAGGCGCGCCUGGUGAUGGCCAAGAUCCAGGGCGCGGCGGCCGCCGGCGCCCCCGUGGACAUGACGAGGCUGCUCGGCAGCUUCACCAACGACAUAGCGUGCCGCGCCGUGUCCGGGAAGUUCUUCCGGGAGGAAGGCCGGAACGAGCUGUUCAGGGAGGCGAUCGACGGGAACGUGGCCGCGUUUGGCGGGUUCAGCCUGCUGGACUACUUCCCGGGCCUGGCCAAGGUGGGCGUGCUCACGCGAGUGGUUUUCGCCAAGAACAGUCAGUUGAAGAGGAAAUGGGACGAGCUGCUCGACAAGAUCAUCGACGACCAUGUCAGCAAAGCAUCGGCACAGGAGCAACACCACAAGCACGAUCAGCAAGAAGAUCAAGAGACAGACUUCGUCGAUGUGCUCCUCAGUCUUCAGGAGGAGUACAGUCUCACCAGACAGCAUAUCAAGGCCAUACUGAUGGACAUGUUUGUGGCAGGCACAGAUACGUCAUACAUAGUUCUUGAGUGCGCCAUGGCUGAGCUCAUGCGAAAGCCGAACCUCAUGGCCAAACUUCAAGCUGAGGUGAGGGAAAAGACACCCAAGGGCCAACAAAUGGUGACCGAGGACGACUUGGCCAGCAUGGCCUACCUAAAGGCCACCGUGAAGGAAACGCUCCGGCUACACCCACCGCUGCCGCUCCUCCUCCCGCACCUCUCCAUGACCGAAUGCGACAUCGACGGCUAUAAAGUCCCCGCCAGAACCCGUGUCAUCGUAAACGCUUGGGCUCUUGGUAGAGACCCUGGAUCGUGGGAGGCUGCCGACAAGUUCAUGCCGGAGAGGUUUGUGGACGUCGUGUCCCCCGACUUCAAAGGGAGGGAUUUUCAGUUUCUGCCGUUUGGAGCUGGCCGAAGGAUAUGUCCCGGGAUAAAUUUUGGGAUGGCGUCUGUGGAGAUCAUGCUUGCCAACCUUGUCUAUUGUUAUGAUUGGGAGCUCCCGGACGGCAUGCGGCAAGAGGACCUGGAUAUGACUGAUGUGUUUGGCAUGACGAUGCGUCGGAAGGAUAAGUUAUUUCUUGUCCCGAGAACACGAGAUGUUAAUCAUGCAUAA
This 1461-nucleotide ribosomal RNA is filed under the name Triticum aestivum (bread wheat). RNAcentral describes it as "partial small subunit ribosomal RNA". Lineage: Eukaryota; Viridiplantae; Streptophyta; Magnoliopsida; Poales; Poaceae. The record is from RNAcentral.